This 4831-nucleotide long non-coding RNA is filed under the name Olea europaea subsp. europaea. The record is from RNAcentral. Lineage: Eukaryota; Viridiplantae; Streptophyta; Magnoliopsida; Lamiales; Oleaceae.
UUUCUUUCAAUUUUCAAAGUUCUCAAAAGGAAACUAAGUUCAACCACCAGGAAGAAAGGUAAUCUUCUUUCCAAUGAAAAUAAAUUUCGAAUAUAUUUAUCGUAUAGAGAAUAUGUGGUUUAUCAAUUCUAUUAUAUUAGGAAAAUCAUGCAAAAUUAUGUGUUACUUUUCUUUACUGCAAGUAUUUAAUCUGCAUUAUAUACAUGAAUAGUAUAACAUAUCAUGUCUGUCACUGCAUAGUCAAACGAAUGAACGCGUGCAAUCCAUCACUUCCACCAUGUCUUGGGAUAAGAAAAAAUGUAGAGGAAUUCAAAGAAUAUUUUGGAUACAAAUUCAUCAGCCAACAAAUUCUUCAAUAAUAUGAAUAUCAAAGCUAAAAUGAAACCUAAAACUUAUUCAUGCAAAUCUCAAUCAUUUUCAUUUGGCCAAAAAAUAUUGAAUCUAUCACUAGCUGUUGAACAGCUCCUCUUACUGAACCUCAAGUUUGUUAAUAUCUCGAAGAACAUUUACUGAAUCUCAAGUUUGUUAAUAUCUCGAAGAACAUGAAAAAUUUGAAUUUAGAAAGCUGCUCGGAGUGACCAUGCUCCGGACUGCACAGAUAUCGCUUCGGGCUGCGCGGGGUGAUCUUGGCGCCUUUAUGCUCCGCGCUACGCGAGAGAUCACUCCGCGCAGCCCGAAGUGUUCAACACUCCGCACUGCGUGGAGUGUCCCUUUGAGACGCGGAGUGGGACACUCCGCACUGCGCGGAGUGUCCCAGUUUUUGGGACACUCCACGCAGCGCGGAGUGUUCCAUUCCUUUGGGAACACUCAAAACGUUACAAUAAAAAAAAAUUACAUUAUACCCAAAAAUUUAUUAUUUAUAAAAUUUAAAACAUUUUACAAUAAAUACAACUUAUAAUAUAAAACUCAUCUUUCAUUAUUUAUAAAAUUAAAAAUAUUUUACAAUAAAUACAAAUUAUUAUAUAAACAGUCAUCUUAAAAUUUUUCGUAACCCUUUUAAUUUCAUUAAAUAAUUAUAUUCUUUUCCAAAAUUCGACUCAAAAAUAUAUUUUUUAUAUUUAGAAUUUUAAUAUCAAAUUUCCAUAUUCAAGAAUAAAAUUUUACUUUCAUUAAAUAAUAAUAUUCUUUUCCUAAAUUCGACUCAAAAAUACAUUUUUUGUUGAUAAUAAUUUAGGGAAAUCUGAAUACGUUAAUGAACUCCAAGGCACGAAAUGAAACGUUAUCUUUUAAGAGAUGUUUCUCACCUAUUCAACAAAGUCACAACGGGGUAUAAUAGAAGAUCUCUCUCAAGAUACAAUGGAGGUGUUUGAUUCAAAUUGUGACUAUUUGAUCAAACCAAGAAAACACUCGAAUAUAACUGAUUGAUGCCAAGAGAAAGAAGGAAAAAUAAAUUAUUUAAUGUAUUUGCAAAUGAGAAUUCGCCCAAAAUUUAUAGACACGGAGACAACUGUUUGAAUAGGUGUAUCUCUUGAAAGUGACUGUUAAAAAUGAACUGAUGCACCUAUUCAAAAAACUUUUGAAAAUAAAAUUCUCUUACGGGGGGCGCUGCCCCCUCGAUCCCCGCGACCUGACCGGGCAGGUCGAACCCCGUUGCGCAGCGGCAAACACUAAUCCGGGCGGCAAAUCAUUCGCAAAACAAAAAAUUGAACACAUGCAAAAUGAUGAAAAAUAUCUAACAUUUUUUAUAUUUAGAAUUUUAAUAUCAAAUUUCCAUAUUCAAGAAUAAAAUAAAACGCGAGGGGUAAAUAUAUUUUAACAUUCCUUGUUAAAUAUUUAUUUUUAAUCUUUUAAUUAUAAGAUUUAAUUUCUCGAAUUUAGUACUUCAAAAAAAUACAAAUGUAACACAUUUAAUAUAAUUUCUUUUCUACGAUCAACUACCACGUCUAAUGUAAAAAAUUUCAAUUAUCUAUCAACAUCAAAAAAUGUUUCUUUUACUUAAUUAAUUUUUUAAUUACUAUAAUUCUCAAUUACAUUAUACCAUAAUUUUUUUUAUUAAAAACCCUUUCACAAAAAAAUACAAAUUUAGUUUCUCGAAUUUAGUACUUCAAAAAAAUACAAAUUUAACAUAUUUAAUAUAAUUUCUUUUCUACGAUCAACUACCACGUCUAAUGUAAAAAAUUUCGAUUAUCUAUUAACAUAAAAAAAAUUUCUUUUAAUUAAUUAAUUUUUUAAUUACUAUAAUUCUCAAUUACAUUAUACCAUAAUUUUUUUAAUUAAAAACCCUUUCACAAACAUACAUAUCUUCAUUUUUAUUUAUUUAAAUUAUACAUAUAAAUUCAUUUUAUCUAAAGGUGAACAUAAUGAACUUAAUCAAAAUUUUCGUUUUUCUAUGUUUUAUACACAUAUAGUUAUUAACUAUCAUUUGAUUUAUUUUAUCUUUUGUAUAAUUUUUUCUUUAAAUAUAUUGCAUAAAUAUUAAAGUUAACAAAUUUUAUUAAUUCAAACUACAUAUCAAUCAUAGUACAAAUUAUGUUGUUUCGAUUUAUAUAUUGUACUAUUAUAUUUCUAAUAUGAAACUGUAAAAAUAUCAUAAAGUUUCAUACAAUUGUAACCAAUUAUCCUUUCCAUCACAAUAUAUAUAUACAGUUUCACAUCAAACACAAAACACAAUGGUUCAAAUAGUAUAGAUAUAAUACUACAUUUUUUUUCAUGAAGUUGAAAUGUUAUUCAUCAUCAUGAACAAAAUUAGCCAGUUUCUAAAAAAUUAUGUUAAAUUAGUAUAUGAAUAAAUUUGUUGACUACUAAACAGUUUUUUUAUUACUUUUUGCAGAUGUCACUAGAAUACAUAUUAUCUCCAAAUCAAUGGUUCUCUGCUACAAUUACUCAAUUUGCAAAUCAUCAAUAUUUUAAAGAUUUUGUAGAACUUAUAAAUGCAGAUGAUCAAGCCUCUUUAUUGUGCAGUCCAUUCCAUGGAUUCAUUUGUGGAAAUAUGAAUAAGAAGCAAAACGACAAAUUUAGCAGCAAGUUAACACAUGAGUUCAUAAUGAGACUUAUAAACUGUGGUAAAAAUAACGAAGUUUGGGUACAACUAGACGAUCGUGUAGCUCGUUUUGGCCUACAAGAAUUUUGUCUCAUAACUGGAUUGCCAUGUCAUGAACCUACUGUUGAUCUAAAUUUUAGUAAUACUCGACUUAGAGAUGAAUACUUCGAUGGUUCAAAACGAAUAACUAUGAUAAGACUUUCUGAAGUAUUUCAUAUAUGUGAAGAUCGAGAAGAUAAAUUUAAGUUGGGAUUAGUUAUGUUUGUCGAAUGUGUUUUAAAACCAACUGGAAGACACAUCGAUUACAGAACUCUUGGAAUGGUUGAACAGCUUGAUGAAUUUCUUAUGUAUCCAUGGGGACGUAAGGCAUAUUUUGUUCUAUUACAUUCAUUACAAGAAUCACAGCUUGAAAGAAUACGAAGAAUGCAACAAAAUAACCAAGCAGAAUGUAAAUAUUCAUUGCAUGGUUAUCCACUUGUAUUCCAGGUAUUUUUCUUACAUUUAUUCCCUAUUCGAUAUAAUUUAAUCAUGUAAAAACGUUAAUAUUCCUUUUUACUUAUAUUUCAGUAUUGGAUAUACGAAGCUUUUCCUAAAAUUGGACGACAAUUUGGUCACCGUAUCCGUACAAGUUUAAAAUGUCCACGAAUGCAUAAAUGGCAGCCUCAAAUGGUAUUAGCGGAAAAUGUUAUUAAAGAAUUUUUAGCUACUGAAGAGGUAUGUUCAUUUCAGUAUACAAUUAAAUAUAUGUUUUAUUCUUUAUAAAUAAAUUUUAGAGAAUACGUCUGAUAUUUUAUUACAAUAUUACAAUUAUAGAUUACAGUAAUUGCAACGUUAAAUCCUACUGAAGCAGAAUUGGAAACAUUCUGGUAUACAACUCUUUCACUGCCAAUUGACAACCAACAUUGUACACUAGACAGCAUUGUCAAUGGUGAAUUGGAAAAUACAACAGAACAAAUUCGAGCAUAUAACAUACAUCCACAAGAAACAACUGUACACAGUUCAAAUAGAAUUGAAUCUACUUCUUCCGGUACUUCAGACUAUGUAACUAAACAAGAUAUGGAACAGAUGUUCAAUGUACACAGACAAGAUGUCUUUGGUUUCUACGACAGCUUGAAAACACAGAUGAUUCAAGAAGCAACAAAGCAAGAAGCUCAGUAUCAUACGAUUCUUGAAAAUCAACAAACUCUCUGUCAGACACUUCUUGACAAUCAAAAACAAUUUUUUGAAGUGCAGCAAAAAAAUCAACAGGAACAUUUUCAGGGCAUACAAUCUGACAUGCAUUCUUAUGUGGAUACCAGUUUCGGUUUAAUGAAGUCUUACAUUGAUGAACAAAAUCGAAAUAUGCAGAAUCAGUUAACCAACUGGAAAUCACAUAUGGAAUCAAUUGUAGCCUCUGUACAACAUGAUUUGCCCCCUCCAACAAAUCAAGCUGAAUUUGAAAUGCCUUCAACAUCUGAACAUGCAGAAGACGUCGAAAGAUCAACAAAAGAAAAAAAAGGUAAGCAAAAAGAGACACAAUCUCCAUCACCAACGGCAACGAAUACUUUAGAAGAUUAUAACAUCGACAAAUACAAAAACAUUAGAGAAUGGAUAUCAGAAAAUCCAUCAGAGUAAGAUAUUAAAUUUAACUUCGUUAACUUAAAUAUUCUAUUUCGUAUUUUACUUAUUUAAUAACAAUUUCAUUUUUUCUUAUAUAGUGCAUACUGAAAAGAUGAAAUCGGCAAUCAAUACGCAAGACAUUCGCUGAUGAAUAUAAUAAAUCAAAUUAAAGAUAUAAAUAUUGUGGUAAGUCAACUUUAGCAAUCUUAAUUAAUUUUACUUCGUUAUUAAUAUAGCUAAUUUAAAUUUUUU